GACGAACGCUGGCGGCGUGCUUAACACAUGCAAGUCGAACGGAAAGGCCCUGCUUUUGUGGGGUGCUCGAGUGGCGAACGGGUGAGUAACACGUGAGUAACCUGCCCUUGACUUUGGGAUAACUUCAGGAAACUGGGGCUAAUACCGGAUAGGAGCUCCUGCUGCAUGGUGGGGGUUGGAAAGUUUCGGCGGUUGGGGAUGGACUCGCGGCUUAUCAGCUUGUUGGCGGGGUAGUGGCUUACCAAGGCUUUGACGGGUAGCCGGCCUGAGAGGGUGACCGGCCACAUUGGGACUGAGAUACGGCGCAGACUCCUACGGGAGGCAGCAGUGGGGAAUAUUGCACAAUGGGCGGAAGCCUGAUGCAGCAACGCCGCGUGCGGGAUGACGGCCUUCGGGUUGUAAACCGCUUUCGCCUGUGACGAAGCGUGAGUGACGGUAAUGGGUAAAGAAGCACCGGCUAACUACGUG
Molecule: ribosomal RNA, 468 nt
Filed under: uncultured bacterium
Lineage: Bacteria
Description: partial 16S ribosomal RNA
Rfam family: Bacterial small subunit ribosomal RNA
Source: RNAcentral